This is a long non-coding RNA of Salvelinus sp. IW2-2015, 224 nucleotides long. RefSeq lists it as uncharacterized. The record is from RefSeq and is a predicted model, not a curated record. The transcript has 3 exons. Lineage: Eukaryota; Metazoa; Chordata; Actinopteri; Salmoniformes; Salmonidae.
GUCUCUACCAGGUGCAGACAUAGUGCAAUGGCUGAUGAAGAACCUAGCCAUUGAGGAUCCAGCUGAGGCCAUACACGUCGGGAGUCUGAUUGCUGCUCAGGGAUAUCUCUUCCCCAUCUCUGAUCACGUUCUGUCACUCAAAGACGACGGAACCUUCUAUCGCUUCCAGGCUCCAUAUUUCUGGCCUUCUAACUGUUGGGAGCCAGAGAACACAGACUAUGGUA